GAGCACGUAGGUGGGUUUGUAAGUCAGAUGUGAAAGCCUUCUGUUCAACGGAAGAAUUGCAUCUGAAACUGCGAGUCUUGAGUGUAGGAGGGGAGAAUGGAACUUCUGGUGGAGCGGUGAAAUGCGUAGAUAUCAGAAGGAACUCCGGCGGCGAGAGCGAUUCUCUGGCCUAUUACUGACACUCAGUGUGCGAAAGCUAGGGGAGCAAACGGGAUUAGAUACCCCGGUAGUCCUAGCCCUAAACGAUGGGCACUAAGUAGAGGGGUUUU
Molecule: ribosomal RNA, 269 nt
Filed under: uncultured Planctomycetales bacterium
Lineage: Bacteria; Pseudomonadati; Planctomycetota; Planctomycetia; Planctomycetales
Description: partial 16S ribosomal RNA
Rfam family: Bacterial small subunit ribosomal RNA
Source: RNAcentral